Xenopus laevis (African clawed frog) is the source of this 1459-nucleotide long non-coding RNA. RefSeq lists it as uncharacterized. The record is from RefSeq and is a predicted model, not a curated record. NCBI's taxonomy places the organism in Eukaryota, Metazoa, Chordata, Amphibia, Anura, Pipidae. The transcript is spliced from 3 exons.
AGGUUAAGGCCCUGUAUUCAAGAUAUAUAAAGAAUGGUAAAAUUCUUGGAAGCAUUUGGCUAUUUCUGGCGUAUCUGUUCUAGCUCCCAUGCUCUCCAUGUCCUGCUUAAUACCCUGGAGAUCGUUCCGGAUUUCUGCCAUGACAGUGCAGCAUUUCCUUGAUAUCUUUCUUCGAUGGAAGCUGUCUCAGAUUUCUGGUGGAAAUAGUCAAGAGUACCAAAUACCUUGGGGUACAUCUGGUGGAGAACCUCUCCUGGACCCUUAACACCAGCUCUAUAGUGAAGAAGGCACAGCAGUGUCUCUACUUUCUGAGAAAGCUGAAAAAAGCCCAUCUUCGACCAUCUAUCCUCACUAUCUUUAACAGAGGGUCUAUUGAAAGCAUUUUAUGCAGCUGCAUCACUACCUAGUAUGGAAACUGUUUUGUAUCGGAUCGCAAGAUCCUGCAGCAGAUGGUGAGGACAGUGGAAAAGAUCAUUGGGGUCUUGCUUCCCACCAUUAUGGUUAUUUACCACAAACGCUGUUUGCAGAAGGCUACCAGCAUUGUUGGGAAUGGCACCCACCCUGUAUAUGAUCUCUCUACCCUCCCGCCAUCCGUAAAAACACACUGCAGUAUUUGGGCGCGGACUUCCAAAAUUUGCAAUACCUUUUUUUCCACAAGAAAUCGGGCAUCUCAACUUCCAAGGACUGAACUGAAUAUAUUUAUAAGGAACUGUAUAAACCUCUGAAAUAUUUUACUCAAAUGUAUGUCUACCUUGCCAAGCAGGAGCGUGUGUUAGGGUUGUUCACCUAAAAAACUCACACUUGAUGUACCUCAUAUAGUCUUAUGUGUACCACCAUGGGUUCUGGAGGAACGUUAUUUCGUUUCUACUAUGCACUGUAUUACUGUAUAUGGCUGAGAUGACAAUUUAAAUCCGCUCGAACUCCACUUGAACUUUAGGAAUAAUAAUGAUAUAGAGUUCCUCCUGGAUUGGAGGAAAUGUGUAAGCCUUCCUUAAAUAUCCAAUAGCUAUCUAUAUAACAGUAAUAAUAAUAAUAUAGUUAAUAAAAUAUAGUAUCUAUCUUCCUUAUUCAAUUAUGUGACUUUUGGUUCUUGGAGCAUGCCUAGUCCAUUGUGAAUAUUAGGGAAGUGCUACUAUUUAAACAAACAUUGCAUCAAACAUAUAAAAGAAUAUAUUUCUUGUACAUUCCUCCAUUCUUUUUACAAUCAAUUAAAUUCUCUGCAAUUACACACACUAAAAUUCCAGGUAUUUUCCAAGUAACCCUUUUUAUUUAUUGUAAUUAAAACAUCAAUAAAAUGCCACGUCUGUCUUAUUUACUCUUGAUGUGUUUGAUCAAGCUGAUUCAUCUCUAAUUACAUACAUUUUCUUGGGAAGAGUGUCUCCUGAGCAACACAAAGACAGUCUUCAUUUACUGUGUCCAUAAGUACUAAAUGCAAGAAAUGCAAUGUACUGAAUGAACA